AAUGAACGCUGGCGGCGUGCCUAAUACAUGCAAGUCGAGCGAACAGACGACGAGCUUGCUCCUCUGACGUUAGCGGCGGACGGGUGAGUAACACGUGGAUACCCUACCUAUAAGACUCGGCUAACAUCGGGAACCCAUAGCUAAUACCAGCUAAUAUAUUGAACCGGAUGGUUCAAUAGUGCAAGACGUUUUUGCUGCCACUGUCAGAUGAGUUAGCUGGGCAGGUAACGGCUGACCAAGGCAACGAUCCGUAGCUGACCUGAGAGGACGAUCCGCCACACUGGAACUGAGACACGGUCCAGACUCCUACGGGAGGCAGCAGUAGGGAAUCUUCCACAAUGGGCGAAAGCCUGACGCAGCAAUGCCGCGUGAGUGAUGAAGGUCUUCGGAUCGUAAAACGCUGUUAUUAGGAAAGAACAAACUUGUAAGUAACUACGCACGUCUUGACGGUACCGAAACAGAAAGCCACGGCUAACUACGUG
Molecule: ribosomal RNA, 482 nt
Filed under: uncultured bacterium
Lineage: Bacteria
Description: partial 16S ribosomal RNA
Rfam family: Bacterial small subunit ribosomal RNA
Source: RNAcentral